CAACAUGAAGUUGGGAGGCCUCAUUCUUCUCGUGAUCCUCAUUACACUCAGCCUAGGGGUACAGGCGCUACCGGCUAAAAGGAUGCAAGUGAUGGACUACUGCACUAUACAAUGUGCAUUCGACUCGGACUGCAGGCCCAAAGAGAAGUGUGUCAACAAAGACUGUAACUUCAUCUGUGUCCCAAGUUAAGGACUGUUUCUACCGGCAAAAGACAGAUGAAAGAAGAAGACAUGGAUGGCAACUGCAGCGAGCAUGAAGGGAAGAGGGGU
This is a long non-coding RNA of Octodon degus (degu), 270 nucleotides long. RefSeq lists it as uncharacterized. The record is from RefSeq and is a predicted model, not a curated record. The transcript has 3 exons. NCBI's taxonomy places the organism in Eukaryota, Metazoa, Chordata, Mammalia, Rodentia, Octodontidae.